GACGAACGCUGGCGGCGUGCUUAACACAUGCAAGUCGAACGGAGAGGCCCUGCUUUUGUGGGGUGCUCGGGUGGCGAACGGGUGGGUAACACGUGAGUAGCCUGCCCUUGACUUUGGGAUAACUUAGCGAAACUGGGGCUAAUCCAGGAUAGGAGCUCCUGCGGCAUGGUGGGGGUUGGAAAGGUUCGGAGGUUGGGGCUGGACGCGCGGGUUAUCAGCUUGUUGGUGGGGUAGUGGCUUACAAAGGCUUUGACGGGUAGCCGGCCUGAGAGGGUGACCGGCCACAUUGGGACUGAGACACGGCCCAGACUCCUACGGGAGUCAGCAGUGGGGAAUAUUGUGCAAUGGGCGGAAGCCGGAUGCAGCAGCGCCGCGUGCGGUAUGACGGCCUUCGGGUUGUAAACCGCUUUCGCCUGUGACGAAGCGGGAGUGACGGUAAUGGGUAAAGAAGCACCGGCUAACUACGUG
RNAcentral lists this ribosomal RNA (468 nucleotides) under uncultured bacterium. RNAcentral's name for it is "partial 16S ribosomal RNA". It matches the Rfam family "Bacterial small subunit ribosomal RNA", at positions 28 to 507 of the family's 1533-position model. The record is from RNAcentral.